CAGCAGCCACGGGAAUACAUAGGGUGCAAGCGUUAAUCGGAAUUACUGGGCGUAAAGCGUGCGCAGGCGGUUUUGUAAGUCUGUCGUGGAAUCCCCGGGCUCAACCUGGGAAUGGCGAUGGAGACUGCAAGGCUAGAAUCUGGCAGAGGGGGGUAGAAUUCCACGUGUAGCAGUGAAAUGCGUAGAUAUGUGGAGGAACACCGAUGGCGAAGGCAGCCCCCUGGGCUAAGAUUGACGCUCAUGCACGAAAGCGUGGGGAGCAAACAGGAUUAGAUACCCCCGUAGUCCCUGUCUCUUAUAC
Molecule: ribosomal RNA, 301 nt
Filed under: uncultured bacterium
Lineage: Bacteria
Description: partial 16S ribosomal RNA
Rfam family: Bacterial small subunit ribosomal RNA
Source: RNAcentral